Molecule: ribosomal RNA, 504 nt
Filed under: uncultured Eubacterium sp.
Lineage: Bacteria; Bacillati; Bacillota; Clostridia; Eubacteriales; Eubacteriaceae
Description: bacterial SSU rRNA
Rfam family: Bacterial small subunit ribosomal RNA
Source: RNAcentral
CGCCGCGUGAGCGAAGAAGUAUUUCGGUAUGUAAAGCUCUAUCAGCAGGGAAGAUAAUGACGGUACCUGACUAAGAAGCACCGGCUAAAUACGUGCCAGCAGCCGCGGUAAUACGUAUGGUGCAAGCGUUAUCCGGAUUUACUGGGUGUAAAGGGAGCGCAGGCGGUGCGGCAAGUCUGAUGUGAAAGCCCGGGGCUCAACCCCGGUACUGCAUUGGAAACUGUCGUACUAGAGUGUCGGAGGGGUAAGCGGAAUUCCUAGUGUAGCGGUGAAAUGCGUAGAUAUUAGGAGGAACACCAGUGGCGAAGGCGGCUUACUGGACGAUAACUGACGCUGAGGCUCGAAAGCGUGGGGAGCAAACAGGAUUAGAUACCCUGGUAGUCCACGCUGUAAACGAUGAAUACUAGGUGUUGGGAAGCAUUGCUUCUCGGUGCCGUCGCAAACGCAGUAAGUAUUCCACCUGGGGAGUACGUUCGCAAGAAUGAAACUCAAAUGAAUUGACGG